GAUGAACGCUGGCGGCGUGCCUAAUACAUGCAAGUCGAGCGAACGGACGAGAAGCUUGCUUCUCUGAUGUUAGCGGCGGACGGGUGAGUAACACGUGUAUAACCUACCUAUAAGACUGGGAUAACCUCGGGAAACCGGAGCUAAUACCGGAUAAUAUUUUGAACCGCAUGGUUCAAAAGUGAAAGACGGUCUUGCUGUCACUUAUCGAUGGAUCUGCGCUGCAUUAGCUAGUUGGUAAGGUAACGGCUUACCAAGGCAACGAUGCAUAGCCGACCUGAGAGGGUGAUCGGCCACACUGGAGCUGAGACACGGUCCAGACUCCUACGGGAGGCAGCAGUAGGGAAUCUUCCGCAGUGGGCGAAAGCCUGGCGGAGCAACGCCGCGUGAGUGAUGAAGGUCUUCGGAUCGUAAAACUCUGUUAUUAGGGAAGAACAUAUGUGUAAGUAGCUGUGCACAUCUUGACGGUACCUGGUCAGAAAGCCACGGCUAACUACGUG
RNAcentral lists this ribosomal RNA (497 nucleotides) under uncultured bacterium. Its description in RNAcentral is "partial 16S ribosomal RNA". It matches the Rfam family "Bacterial small subunit ribosomal RNA", at positions 28 to 507 of the family's 1533-position model. The record is from RNAcentral.